Molecule: long non-coding RNA, 801 nt
Filed under: Pongo abelii (Sumatran orangutan)
Lineage: Eukaryota; Metazoa; Chordata; Mammalia; Primates; Hominidae
Description: lincRNA
Source: RNAcentral
CAGUGCCCACUUUGUUCACCUCUGCUCACUGGGGGAGCCAGGACCCGGAUCCAGGUUUUCUGACUCCAGGUCUCAGGCUUGCUCCAUAGCGCCACCUGCUGGUGACGGCAAUCGGUAGGCACCCAAAUCAAGUCUCAGAUUUCCUCAUCUCAGAAGUUGUCAGCUUCUCCGACCUCCACGGUAACUCGGAACCACACUGUGGAGUUAUCCCUGUGUCCUCUUUCUCGGAAGUUCCACAUCCAACCCCUCAGCAGGUCUCAGCGGCACUCUCACCACCUCCUCUGCUCUGUUCCUGUUUCUCUUGGAUGGCCGAAUGUUUCCUAAGGGGUGCCUGCUGCUUCACGCUUGCCCCCUGGAGUGGCAUCUAAAAGGAUACCCUACAACUAACAGACAUGAUGCCAUCAAGACAUCUUGAGCUUGGCUACCUCUCGUGGCCUGUAUUUUGUCCACAGGAAACUCGCGCAGUCUUACUACAGCAAAUUGAGGUGGUAUGGGGUGCCUGCUGCUGUCUCUCUCCUCACCUUUCCACAGAGGGCUGCCCCAGCCUGACCCCCACUUCCAGAGUUUCUCCAGCCAGGAGAAUCCUGAAAUCUCUGUAAAUAAGCAAUCCAGGAGCCAGAGAAUCAUGGGAUCUCAUACAAACAAAUCAUCCAGGAAAAACACAACCAGAGUCUCCUUUCGGUAAACCUCCAUGACUGGGGAUCCCCUGCCACCCAGAAAGCAGUUUUGCCUGCCAUGCUUGUCAUCACUGAUUUUUACUGCUGCAGCAGACUCCGUCAGACCCGCCUGCUUCUUCAGCGA